Molecule: ribosomal RNA, 494 nt
Filed under: uncultured bacterium
Lineage: Bacteria
Description: bacterial SSU rRNA
Rfam family: Bacterial small subunit ribosomal RNA
Source: RNAcentral
ACGCUAGCUACAGGCUUAACACAUGCAAGUCGAGGGGCAGCAUUGGAGUAGCAAUACUUCAGAUGGCGACCGGCGCACGGGUGAGUAACACGUAUCCAACCUGCCGCUUACUCGGGGAUAGCCUUUCGAAAGAAAGAUUAAUACCCGAUGGUAUAAAGAGUUCGCAUGUUCUCUUUAUUAAAGAAUUUCGGUAAGCGAUGGGAUGCGUUCCAUUAGAUAGUUGGCGGGGUAACGGCCCACCAAGUCUACGAUGGAUAGGGGUUCUGAGAGGAAGGUCCCCCACAUUGGAACUGAGACACGGUCCAAACUCCUACGGGAGGCAGCAGUGAGGAAUAUUGGUCAAUGGACGAGAGUCUGAACCAGCCAAAAGUAGCGUGAAGGAUGACUGCCCUAUGGGUUGUAAACUUCUUUUAUAAGGGAAUAAAGUGAGGGACGUGUCCCUUUUUGUAUGUACCUUAUGAAUAAGGAUCGGCUAACUCCGUGCCAGCCGCCGC